CCUACGGGAGGCAGCAGUGGGGAAUAUUGCACAAUGGGCGCAAGCCUGAUGCAGCGACGCCGCGUGAGGGAUGACGGCCUUCGGGUUGUAAACCUCUUUCAGUAGGGAAGAAGCGAAAGUGACGGUACCUGCAGAAGAAGCGCCGGCUAACUACGUGCCAGCAGCCGCGGUAAUACGUAGGGCGCAAGCGUUAUCCGGAAUUAUUGGGCGUAAAGAGCUCGUAGGCGGUUUGUCGCGUCUGCCGUGAAAGUCCGGGGCUCAACUCCGGAUCUGCGGUGGGUACGGGCAGACUAGAGUGAUGUAGGGGAGACUGGAAUUCCUGGUGUAGCGGUGAAAUGCGCAGAUAUCAGGAGGAACACCGAUGGCGAAGGCAGGUCUCUGGGCAUUAACUGACGCUGAGGAGCGAAAGCAUGGGGAGCGAACAGGAUUAGAUACCCUGGUAGUCCAUGCCGUAAACGUUGGGCACUAGGUGUGGGGGACAUUCCACGUUUUCCGCGCCGUAGCUAACGCAUUAAGUGCCCGCCUGGGGNGGACGGCGCGAGCGUAACGUACGAAGAAGUAGAGCGUGNGCGNGCGACGGACGACGACGAGGGAGGAGG
Molecule: ribosomal RNA, 599 nt
Filed under: uncultured bacterium
Lineage: Bacteria
Description: bacterial SSU rRNA
Rfam family: Bacterial small subunit ribosomal RNA (bases 1-524)
Source: RNAcentral